AGUCAAGUAAUUAAGUGCAUGUGGUGGAUGCCUUGGCAGUCAGAGGCGAUGAAAGACGUGAUAGCCUGCGAAAAGCUCCGGGGAGGCGGCAAAUAUCCUUUGAUCCGGAGAUGUCUGAAUGGGGGAACCCACCUACUUUAAGGUAGGUAUUGCAACAUGAAUACAUAGUGUUGCAAGGCGAACGAGGGGAAGUGAAACAUCUCAGUACCCUUAGGAAAAGAAAUCAAUUGAGAUUCCCUCAGUAGCGGCGAGCGAACGGGGAUCAGCCCAUUAAGUUAUGUGUGUUUUAGUGGAACGCUCUGGGAAGUGCGAACGUAGAGGGUGAUAUUCCCGUACACGAAAGGGCACACAUAAUGAUGACGAGUAGGGCGAGGCACGUGAAACCUUGUCUGAAUAUGGGGGGACCAUCCUCCAAGGCUAAAUACUCCUGACUGACCGAUAGUGAACCAGUACCGUGAGGGAAAGGCGAAAAGAACCCCUGUGAGGGGAGUGAAAUAGAUCCUGAAACCGCAUGCAUACAAGCAGUGGGAGCACCUUCGUGGUGUGACUGCGUACCUUUUGUAUAAUGGGUCAGCGACUUAUAUUCAGUAGCGAGGUUAACCGUAUAGGGGAGCCGUAGAGAAAUCGAGUCUUAAUAGGGCGUUUAGUUGCUGGGUAUAGACCCGAAACCAGGCGAUCUAUCCAUGAGCAGGUUGAAGGUUGGGUAACACUAACUGGAGGACCGAACCCACUGUCGUUGAAAAGCCAGGGGAUGACUUGUGGAUAGGGGUGAAAGGCUAAUCAAGCCUGGUGAUAGCUGGUUCUCCCCGAAAGCUAUUUAGGUAGCGCCUCGGACGAAUACCAUAGGGGGUAGAGCACUGUUUCGGCUAGGGGGUCAUCCCGACUUACCAAACCGAUGCAAACUCCGAAUACCUAUGAGUACUAUCCGGGAGACAGACUGCGGGUGCUAACGUCCGUAGUCAAGAGGAAAACAAUCCAGACCGCCAGCUAAGGCCCCAAAAUCAUAGUUAAGUGGGAAACGAUGUGGGAAGGCAUAGACAGCUAGGAGGUUGGCUUAGAAGCAGCCACCCUUUAAAGAAAGCGUAAUAGCUCACUAGUCGAGUCGGCCUGCGCGGAAGAUGUAACGGGGCUAAAACUAUGUGCCGAAGCUGCGGAUGUAUACUUUGUAUACGUGGUAGGGGAGCGUUCUGUAAGCCGAUGAAGGUGUGUUGAGAAGCAUGCUGGAGGUAUCAGAAGUGCGAAUGCUGACGUGAGUAACGACAAAACGGGUGAAAAACCCGUUCGCCGAAAGACCAAGGGUUCCAGUCCAACGUUAAUCGGGGCUGGGUGAGUCGACCCCUAAGGCGAGGCCGAAAGGCGUAGUCGAUGGGAAAAUGGUUAAUAUUCCAUUACUUCUGUGUAAUGCGAUGAGAGGACGGAGAAGGCUAAAUCAGCCUGGCGUUGGUUGUCCAGGUGAAAGGAUGUAGGCAUGUAUCUUAGGCAAAUCCGGGGUACUCUAUGCUGAGAUCUGAUAGCAAGCUGUACUUGUACAGCGAAGUGGUUGAUGCCAUGCUUCCAGGAAAAGUCUCUAAGCUUCAGUUACACAGGAAUCGUACCCGAAACCGACACAGGUGGUCAGGUCGAGUAGACCAAGGCGCUUGAGAGAACUCUGCUGAAGGAACUAGGCAAAAUGGUACCGUAACUUCGGGAGAAGGUACGCUGUUGUUGGUGAUGGAACUCGCUUCCUGAGCUGACGACAGCCGCAGAAACCAGGCCGCUGCAACUGUUUAUUAAAAACAUAGCACUCUGCAAACACGAAAGUGGACGUAUAGGGUGUGAUGCCUGCCCGGUGCUGGAAGGUUAAUUGAUGGGGUUAGCGUAAGCGAAGCUCUUGAUCGAAGCCCCAGUAAACGGCGGCCGUAACUAUAACGGUCCUAAGGUAGCGAAAUUCCUUGUCGGGUAAGUUCCGACCUGCACGAAUGGCAUAAUGAUGGCGGCGCUGUCUCCAGCAGAGGCUCAGUGAAAUCGAAAUCGCUGUGAAGAUGCAGUGUACCCGCGGCUAGACGGUAAGACCCCGUGAACCUUUACUGCAGCUUGACACUGAACUUUGACCUUACUUGUGUAGGAUAGGUGGGAGGCUUUGAAGCUGGAACGCUAGUUCCAGUGGAGCCGUCCUUGAAAUACCACCCUGGUAAUGUUGAGGUUCUAACUCUGUCCCGUGAUCCGGGACGAGGACCGUGUCUGGUGGGUAGUUUGACUGGGGCGGUCUCCUCCUAAAGAGUAACGGAGGAGUACGAAGGUGCGCUCAGCGUGGUCGGAAAUCACGCGUAGAGUAUAAAGGCAAAAGCGCGCUUAACUGCGAGACCCACAAGUCGAGCAGGUACGAAAGUAGGUCUUAGUGAUCCGGUGGUUCUGUAUGGAAGGGCCAUCGCUCAACGGAUAAAAGGUACUCUGGGGAUAACAGGCUGAUACCGCCCAAGAGUUCAUAUCGACGGCGGUGUUUGGCACCUCGAUGUCGGCUCAUCUCAUCCUGGGGCUGAAGCAGGUCCCAAGGGUAUGGCUGUUCGCCAUUUAAAGAGGUACGCGAGCUGGGUUUAGAACGUCGUGAGACAGUUCGGUCCCUAUCUACCGUGGGCGCUGGAAAUUUGAGAGGAUCUGCUCCUAGUACGAGAGGACCAGAGUGGACGAACCUCUGGUGUACCGGUUGUGACGCCAGUCGCAUCGCCGGGUAGCUAUGUUCGGAAGGGAUAACCGCUGAAAGCAUCUAAGCGGGAAGCCUACCUCAAGAUAAGAUUUCCCUAGGACUUUAUGUCCUCUAAAGAGCCGUUCGAGACUAGGACGUUGAUAGGUUGGAUGUGGAAGCAUAGUGAUAUGUGAAGCUGACCAAUACUAAUUGCUCGUGAGGCUUGACUAU
This 2893-nucleotide ribosomal RNA is filed under the name Acinetobacter baumannii. Its description in RNAcentral is "23S ribosomal RNA". It matches the Rfam family "Bacterial large subunit ribosomal RNA". The record is from RNAcentral. Lineage: Bacteria; Pseudomonadati; Pseudomonadota; Gammaproteobacteria; Moraxellales; Moraxellaceae.